This 91-nucleotide ribosomal RNA is filed under the name Marchesinia bongardiana. RNAcentral describes it as "partial 18S ribosomal RNA". It matches the Rfam family "Eukaryotic small subunit ribosomal RNA", at positions 1741 to 1831 of the family's 1831-position model. The record is from RNAcentral. Lineage: Eukaryota; Viridiplantae; Streptophyta; Jungermanniopsida; Porellales; Lejeuneaceae.
GUUGUUGUGAGAAGUUCAUUAAACCUUAUCAUUUAGAGGAAGGAGAAGUCGUAACAAGGUUUCCGUAGGUGAACCUGCGGAAGGAUCAUUG